UGUGAGAGGAGUGUCUGACUGUU
This 23-nucleotide microRNA is filed under the name Columba livia (rock pigeon). RNAcentral's name for it is "cli-miR-9631-3p". The record is from miRBase by way of RNAcentral. Lineage: Eukaryota; Metazoa; Chordata; Aves; Columbiformes; Columbidae.